RNAcentral lists this ribosomal RNA (502 nucleotides) under uncultured Glomeromycotina. RNAcentral describes it as "partial small subunit ribosomal RNA". It matches the Rfam family "Eukaryotic small subunit ribosomal RNA", at positions 591 to 1092 of the family's 1831-position model. The record is from RNAcentral. Lineage: Eukaryota; Fungi; Glomeromycota.
CCAAUAGCGUAUAUUAAAGUUGUUGCAGUUAAAAAGCUCGUAGUUGAAUUUCGGGGUCUGUCCAUUGGUCGGGCUUUACGGUCCGUACUGGUGAGAUGGGUUCCUACCUUCUGAAUAACCAGCAUGCCAUUCAUUUGGUGCGCCGGGGAAGCAGAGCUAUUACCUUGAAAAAAUUAGAGUGCUUAAAGCAGGCUAGUGCUUGAAUAGAUUAGCAUGGAAUAAUAAAAUAGGACGGCUUGGUUCUAUUUUGUUGGUUUCUAGGAUCACCGUAAUGAUUAAUAGGGAGAGUUGGGGGCAUUAGUAUUCAAUUGUCAGAGGUGAAAUUCUUGGAUUUAUUGAAGACUAACUUCUGCGAAAGCAUUUGCCAAGGAUGUUUUCAUUAAUCAAGAACGAAAGUUAGGGGAUCGAAGACGAUCAGAUACCGUCGUAGUCUUAACCAUAAACUAUGCCGACUAGGGAUCAGACGAUGUUAAUUUUUUAAUGACUCGUUCGGCGCCUUACG